GAGACUCUUGCGCGUGCAUAUCAAUAAGCGGAGGAAAAGAAACUAACAAGGAUUCCCUUAGUAACGGCGAGUGAAGCGGGAAGAGCUCAAAUUUGAAAUCUUCAAGGUUUUACCUUGACGAAUUGUAGUUUAAAGAAGUGUUUUCUGUUGGAGUUUUGGUAAAAGUUCUUUGGAAUAGGACAUCAUAGAGGGUGAGAAUCCCGUAUUUGACCGUUACUUUCCAGCUGUGUGAUACACUUUCAAAGAGUCGGAUUGUUUGGGAAUGCAGUCCAAAAUGGGUGGUAAAUUUCAUCUAAAGCUAAAUAUUGGCGAGAGACCGAUAGCGAACAAGUACCGUGAGGGAAAGAUGAAAAGAACUUUGAAAAGAGAGUUAAACAGUACGUGAAAUUGUCAAAAGGGAAGCGUUUGACACCAGUGUUGUUUAGUUGAAAAUCAAUUCAAUAGUUUUUGAUUCUAAGUAGUAUUGACUUCAUCAGCUUGCUGCUUUCUUCUCAGAAAUUAUUGAAUGCACUUUUCAGUUAACAAGUCAACAUCAAUUUCUUUUGUUGUAAAAGGGUAAGAGGAAGGUGGCUUGCGCUUCGGCUCAAGUGUUUAUAGCCUUUUAUCUCUGCAAUCGGAGAGAUUGAGGUCUGCAGCGUAGAUCCUUCGGGGUUAGAUACAUUGUGCUAAGCUAUAGCCUUGUAUAGACAACUUGUUGACUAUGCUCAGUCAUGUAGCUUACUCGCUGAUGCUAUUUUACCUACGCUUAGGAUGUUGAAGAUGUAGCACAUCAU
RNAcentral lists this ribosomal RNA (773 nucleotides) under uncultured Neocallimastigales. RNAcentral's name for it is "partial large subunit ribosomal RNA". It matches the Rfam family "Eukaryotic large subunit ribosomal RNA", at positions 24 to 635 of the family's 3401-position model. The record is from RNAcentral. Lineage: Eukaryota; Fungi; Neocallimastigomycota; Neocallimastigomycetes; Neocallimastigales.